GUCACCAUGUGCUUGAGCAGGUAAUCGCGGAGCGAGAACGAGCGCCGGCACACCGGGCACUGGUGCGGCUUCUCACCUGUGGGAGAGGAAUGGUCAGUGUGGUCAGUGUGGUCAGUGUGGGUCAGUGUGGUCAGUGUGGGUCAGUACUGGUCAGUGCGGUCAGUGUGGUCAAUACAGGUCAAUGUAGGUCAACGUGGGCCAAAGUUGGUCAACGUGGGUCAACAUUGGCCAAAAUGGAUCAACGUGGGUCAACGUGGAUUGAUAAAGGUGAACGUGGGCCAAACUGGGUCAAUGUGGGUCAAUGUAGGCCAACAUGGACCAAAACGGGUCAAUGUGGGCCAACACGUGCCAGAAUGGAUCAACGUGGGUCAACACAGAUCAGUACAGGUCAAUGUGGGUCAACGUGGGCCAAACUGGAUCAACGUGGGUAAACAUGGGCAAAAAUGGGUCAAUACAGGUCAACAUGGGCCAAAAUGGGCCAAAACAGAUCAAUGUGGGCCAACGAGGGCUAAAGUGGGUCAAUGUGGGUCCACAUGGGUUAACAUGGCUCAAUAUGGGCUAAAAUGGGUCAAUGUGGGUCAACAUGGGCCAACACGGACCAAUACGGAUCAACAUGGGCCAAAGUGGGUCAGUGUGGGUCAACACGGAUCAAUACAGGCAAACAUGGGCCAAACUGGGCCAAAACAGCUCAAUGUGAGUCAAUGUGGAUCAACAAGGGCCAAAGUGGGCCAAUGUGGGUCAGCAUGGGUCAAUACAGGUCAAUGCAGGUCAACAUGAGCCAAAAUGGGUCAAUGUGUGUCAACAUGGAUCAAACUGGAUCAACGUGGGCCAAAAUGGGCCAAAACAGAUCAAUGUGGGCCAACAAGGGCCAAAGUGGGUCAAUGUGUGUCAACAUGGAUCGAUAAAGGUGAACGUGGGCCAAACUGGGUCAAUGCGGGUCAAUGUGGGCCAACAUGGACCCAAAUGGGUCAAUAUGGGCCAACAUGGGUCAAUGUGGGUCAAUAUGGGCCAAACUGGGUCAAUGUGGGUAAACAUGGGCCAAAAUGGGCCAAAACAGAUCAAUGUGGGCCAACAAGGACCAAACUGGGUCAAUGUGGGUCAACAUGGGUCAAACUGGAUCAACGUGGGUCAACAUGGGCCAAAAUGGUUCAGUGUGGGUCAACAUGGGUCAAUAUGGACUAAAAUGGGUAAACGUGGGUCAACAUGGGCCAAAGUGGGUCAACGUGGGUCAAACUGGAUCAGUGUGAGUCAAUAUGGGCCAACAUGGGCCAAAAUACAGAUCAAUACAGGUCAACGUGGGCCAAAAUGGGCCAAAACACAUCAAUGUGGGCCAACAUGGGCCAAAAUGGGUCAAUGUGUGUCAACAUGGGUCAACAUGAGUAGAUACAGAUCAAUACAGGUCAACAUGGGCCAAAAUGGGGCCCUAGGACCCCCAGGUGUGUCCCCAGGUGUGUCCCCAUGUCCCCAGGUGUGCCCCCAGGUGUGUCCCCAGCUGUCCCCAGGUGUGCCCCAUGUCCCCCAGGUGUGUCCCCAUGUCCCCAGGUGUGUCCCCAAGUGUGUCCCAGGUGUGUCCCCAUUGUCCCCAAGUGUGUCCCAGGUGUGUCCCCAGGUGUGUCCCCAGGUGUGUCCCAGGUGUGUCCCCAGCUUUCCCCAGGUGUACCCCCAGGUGGGUCCCCAACUGUCCCCAGGUGUGUCCCCAGGUGUGCUCCAUGUCCCCAGGUGUGUCCCCAUGUCCCAGGUGUGUCCUCAGGUGUCCCCAGGUGUCCCCAGCUGUGUCCCCAGGUGUGUCCCCAGGUGUGUCCCCAACUGUCCCCAGGUGUGCCCCAUGUCCCAGCUG
Molecule: long non-coding RNA, 1837 nt
Organism: Zonotrichia albicollis (white-throated sparrow)
Lineage: Eukaryota; Metazoa; Chordata; Aves; Passeriformes; Passerellidae
Source: Ensembl